CCGCUAAAGGCUCAUUAAAUCAGCUAUAAUUUAAUUGAUGGUACAAUCACUUUUACUUGGAUAACUGUGGCAAUUCUAGAGCUAAUACAUGCAAAAUGAAUUCCGACCGCGCGGGCGGGCUCUUUUACAAGCUCGUCUUCGCGGAACGAAUGCUUUUAUUAGAACAAAACCAAUCGGAUCUUUCGUCGGCUCGCGUCACUUUUUUUUCGUUCCUUUCUCUCGUUCGGUGACGUCUUUCGCGCUCUUCCUCCGUUCCUUUCUCCGCGAUCGCUUCGUCGAGAUUGAUUUCUCGCGCGAGCGAAAACGGAGAGUACACGGGGAAGGGAGGGCACACGGGAGCGCGAAAGCAUCCGUUCGAAACAACGGGGAAAGUUGCGAAAAAAGAACGGUGUGCGCGGAAAAAGCUCGAAAGAAAUCCGCAAAAAUAAUUUUGAGGGAUCUGAAUAACUUUACGCUGAUCGCACGGUCACGAACCGGCGACGCAUCUUUCAAAUGUCUGACUUAUCAACUUUCGAUGGUAGGCUACGCGCCUACCAUGGUGAUAACGGGUGACGGGGAAUCAGGGUUCGAUUCCGGAGAGGGAGCCUGAGAAACGGCUACCACAUCCAAGGAAGGCAGCAGGCGCGCAAAUUACCCACUCCCGGCACGGGGAGGUAGUGACGAAAAAUAACGAUGCAGGACUCAUUACGAGGCUCUGCAAUCGGAAUGAGAACACUCUAAAUCAUUUAACGAGUAUCCAUUGCAGG
Molecule: ribosomal RNA, 746 nt
Filed under: Haematopinus quadripertusus
Lineage: Eukaryota; Metazoa; Arthropoda; Insecta; Psocodea; Haematopinidae
Description: SSU rRNA
Rfam family: Eukaryotic small subunit ribosomal RNA
Source: RNAcentral